This 580-nucleotide transfer RNA is filed under the name uncultured Prochlorococcus sp. Its description in RNAcentral is "partial 16S-23S ribosomal RNA intergenic spacer". The stretch from base 229 to 301 matches the Rfam family "tRNA". Lineage: Bacteria; Bacillati; Cyanobacteriota; Cyanophyceae; Synechococcales; Prochlorococcaceae. The record is from RNAcentral.
UGUGAUGUCUAAUUAAAAUAUCUUAGGCCGCAAUCCUGUCACCUUAGGUCGAUCGGUACCUCAGAUUUUUGUAUUAAUUUUAUAAUUAAUCCUUUGAUUUCAGUUCCUAAACUUGUCUAGGUCACACUCAACAAGGGUUUCUCCUGGGCCAUUAGCUCAGGUGGUUAGAGCGCACCCCUGAUAAGGGUGAGGUCCCUGGUUCAAGUCCAGGAUGGCCCAUUCGUUGUUGGGGGUAUAGCUCAGUUGGUAGAGCGCCUGCUUUGCAAGCAGGAUGUCAGCGGUUCGAGUCCGCUUACCUCCACUGAAAACUACCCUGAUAACUAAAUCAGGAGAAAAAUUUGUAAAUGUGGCUUAGAAUUGUCUAUUGAAAAGAACCUAGCUUCUUAUCAUCUUUUAAAGUUGAUAAUAUGCUGGGCUCACAUGGAUUUAUCCAUGAGAAUUCAGUAGAACCUUGAAAACUGCAUAGAUUGAAAGAAUAAAGCAUCUCAUGGAUGCAUAGUUUUUUUGAUUUUUAGAUUCAAUUUCUAAGUCUUCAGUUUAAGACUCAUGAUUAAUUCUUGAAUAAAGCCGAGGACACUUA